Molecule: unclassified non-coding RNA, 376 nt
Filed under: soil metagenome
Description: partial contains 5.8S ribosomal RNA, internal transcribed spacer 2, and large subunit ribosomal RNA
Rfam family: 5.8S ribosomal RNA (bases 1-120)
Source: RNAcentral
GAUGAAGAACGUAGCGAAAUGCGAUAAGUAAUGUGAAUUGCAGAAUUCAGUGAAUCAUCGAAUCUUUGAACGCAUCUUGCGCUCCUUGGUAUUCUGAGGAGCAUGCCUGUUUGAGUGUCAUUAAAUUCUCAACUACACUGACUUUGAAUUGGUGUGGCUUGGAUUUGGGGGGAAAAUUGUUGUGGGCUUUUUGUAUAGUCUGCUCCCCUGAAAUUGAUUAGCGGUACCUUUGUGGAACUGUCUACAGGUGUGAUAAUUAUCUACAUCUUAGACAUCUGCUGGAAUGCUGCUUUCUAAACCUUACUUAUAUUGACAAUCUUGACCUCAAAUCAGGUAGGACUACCCGCUGAACUUAAGCAUAUCAAUAAGCGGAGGA